CAAACUAUCGGACGGUUCAGGCGUGCAAGCGUCCGCGUCUAAUUCUGCUAUUCGGAUUUCUUAACACUUGACGAAUUGUGAAUUAGUUAUUUAAAUAUUCUACCAUGUUUGACAUAUUGAUGUUAUUCUGUAUCCUUUGUAAUCAUGCCUUGGAAUUGGAUUGUUUUGAAAUUUGCUCAAAAAACGUUAACUUAUUUUGUAUAAUUUGUUAAUGUCCAUUUGUUAAUGGUGUGUUUUGUUUUGCUGUUGCAGUAGCUGUUACGCGCCUCAAUUCAGCAGUUGACCAAGAUUCCUGCGUCUUCAGUUUGAUUUCAAGUAUAGGCAGCCACAGACAAUGUUUCCAGAUGGGGAUAUCGGACUAAAGUGGUAUAACUCAAUGUGUCUUAGCAAGAGAUUCAUCAGUGAAGUAAACAUGAAGUUGAGAUGCCAAACUAAUUUAUUGAUGCCAUGAUUGUUGAGAAAGGCAUCAUUCCUGCUCCUGACCUCAGCCUCCAAAGCGCUCUGCAUUGUGUCCACAACUCUCUGGUGGUUCCUCUUCA
Amblyraja radiata (thorny skate) is the source of this 539-nucleotide long non-coding RNA. RefSeq lists it as uncharacterized. NCBI's taxonomy places the organism in Eukaryota, Metazoa, Chordata, Chondrichthyes, Rajiformes, Rajidae. The record is from RefSeq and is a predicted model, not a curated record. The transcript is spliced from 3 exons.